AAAAGCCUGCAGGGGAGCCGUUUGGCUGAGAGUGAACAGAUGUCUGUUCUGACCCUUCGAACCUGUUAGUUAAUACUAGCGCAGGAAUGGUGGCUUUAUUGAUGG
RNAcentral lists this non-coding RNA (105 nucleotides) under Lentibacillus amyloliquefaciens. RNAcentral's name for it is "TPP sequence". It matches the Rfam family "TPP riboswitch aptamer (THI element)". From Rfam's summary of the family: Vitamin B(1) in its active form thiamin pyrophosphate (TPP) is an essential coenzyme that is synthesised by coupling of pyrimidine and thiazole moieties in bacteria. The previously detected thiamin-regulatory element, thi box was extended, resulting in a new, highly conserved RNA secondary structure, the THI element, which is widely distributed in eubacteria and also occurs in some archaea. The record is from Rfam by way of RNAcentral. Lineage: Bacteria; Bacillati; Bacillota; Bacilli; Caryophanales; Bacillaceae.